GAGAGCGCGCGGCCGACGUAGGUGGGGUCAGGCAGAAAGUCUUACUCCCUAACUCUGCAGUUCCAAAGAGACGCGUUUUGAGAGGGGUGAUUUUGAGUCGGUCUUUUACUUGUAAAGAAAUACUCUCGGGAAACGUUGGUGUGGACAUUUUGGCGUAUAUUUACGAUGUCUUACUAUCCAAGCCCGGAAUGUCCCACCCUAGGGCGUCGGCAGGUCCACCACCUCUGGCGUUACGAGAAUAACUCGCCCUUAUUCACUACGAGAUCUCUAAUUGAGAUCCCUAGAUAUGAUC
RNAcentral lists this long non-coding RNA (292 nucleotides) under Homo sapiens (human). RNAcentral describes it as "non-protein coding lnc-KLHL13-5:3". The record is from RNAcentral. Lineage: Eukaryota; Metazoa; Chordata; Mammalia; Primates; Hominidae.